UACAGAGGGUGCGAGCGUUGUUCAGAAUUAUUGGGCGUAAAGGGCGCGUAGGCGGUGCGGUAAGUCACCUGUGAAAUCUCCUGGCUCAACUGGGAGCUUGCAGGCGAAACUGCCGUGCUGGAGUGUGGGAGAGGUGCGUGGAAUUCCUGGUGUAGCGGUGAAAUGCGUAGAUAUCAGGAAGAACACCCGUGGCGAAGGCGGCUCUCUGGAACGCAACUGACGCUCAGACACGACAGCAUGGGGAGCGAACGGG
This 253-nucleotide ribosomal RNA is filed under the name uncultured bacterium. RNAcentral's name for it is "partial 16S ribosomal RNA". It matches the Rfam family "Bacterial small subunit ribosomal RNA", at positions 524 to 776 of the family's 1533-position model. The record is from RNAcentral.